AUCCUACGGGGCGCAGCAGUGAGGAAUAUUGGUCAAUGGCCGCAGGGCUGAACCAGCCAAGUCGCGUGAGGGAUGACGGUCCUAUGGAUUGUAAACCUCUUUUGUCAGGGAGCAAAGGGCGCCACGUGUGGCGUUUUGCGAGUACCUGAAGAAAAAGCAUCGGCUAACUCCGUGCCAGCAGCCGCGGUAAUACGUAGGUGACAAGCGUUGUCCGGAUUUACUGGGUGUAAAGGGCGCGUAGGCGGGAUAGCAAGUCAGUCGUGAAAUGCCGGGGCUUAACCUCGGAGCUGCGAUUGAAACUGUUA
This 305-nucleotide ribosomal RNA is filed under the name uncultured bacterium. RNAcentral describes it as "bacterial SSU rRNA". It matches the Rfam family "Bacterial small subunit ribosomal RNA", at positions 335 to 638 of the family's 1533-position model. The record is from RNAcentral.